RNAcentral lists this ribosomal RNA (450 nucleotides) under uncultured Rhodococcus sp. Its description in RNAcentral is "bacterial SSU rRNA". It matches the Rfam family "Bacterial small subunit ribosomal RNA", at positions 107 to 572 of the family's 1533-position model. The record is from RNAcentral. Lineage: Bacteria; Bacillati; Actinomycetota; Actinomycetes; Mycobacteriales; Nocardiaceae.
UGAGUAACGCGUGGGAAUCUGCCUUAAACAGGCGGAUAGCUCGCCGAAAGGCUAAUUAAUACCGCAUAUGCACACAUCCCGACAGGGAUAUGUGUGAAAGGAGUAAUCCGGUUUAAGAUGAGCCCGCGUGCGAUUAGCUAGUUGGUGGGGUAAAGGCCCACCAAGGCGACGAUCGCUAGGUGGUCUGAGAGGAUGAUCACCCACAAUGGAACUGCGACACGGUCCAUACUCCUACGGGAGGCAGCAGUAGGGAAUUUUACGCAAUGGGCGAAAGCCUGACGUAGCGACACCGCGUGAGCGAAGAAGCCCUUUGGGGUGUAAAGCUCUGUCAGCUGGAACGAAACAAAUGACGGUACCAGCAGAGGAAGCAUCGGCUAACUACGUGCCAGCAGCCGCGGUAAGACGUAGGAUGCAAGCGUUGUCCGGAUUUAUUGGGCGUAAAGAGUUCGU